UACGUAGGGUGCAAGCGUUAAUCGGAAUUACUGGGCGUAAAGCGUGCGCAGGCGGUUUUGUAAGUCUGUCGUGAAAGCCCCGGGCUCAACCUGAGAAUUGCGAUGGAGACUGCAAGGCUUGAAUCUGGCAGAGGGGGGUAGAAUUCCACGUGUAGCAGUGAAAUGCGUAGAGAUGUGGAGGAACACCGAUGGCGAAGGCAGCCCCCUGGGUCAAGAUUGACGCUCAUGCACGAAAGCGUGGGGAGCAAACAGG
RNAcentral lists this ribosomal RNA (253 nucleotides) under uncultured bacterium. RNAcentral's name for it is "partial 16S ribosomal RNA". It matches the Rfam family "Bacterial small subunit ribosomal RNA", at positions 524 to 776 of the family's 1533-position model. The record is from RNAcentral.